GCCGCGUGUGUUGUCAGGACGAUCGGAAACGCGUGUGUGGGGAGAUGGGUGCCAGUGUCGCCUUGUCCAUUAUCCAAAACCCAGUCGCUUUUGCUGGUUCCUCACUCAGCAUGUGAGAGAGAUUGUCUUCUCACUCGGUGCCACUCGGGGGCCAUACUCCAAAAUCAACCAGGGGCUGCCUCGGCAUCCAAGACGUUUCGGGCCAGGCGAGGCUGUUUCCCUAACCUGUGCCAUGGGCAAAAGAGAACGCCGCCUUCCCAUGCAGUUCCCUUUGUAGCCCACCCCUUGCCAUUCCAGGCAUCACUGAAGGUCUUUGCUCCCACCACUCCCACCCCUUCUCCUACCAGCUAGAUCCUCAUAACUCCUACAGGAUUGCAGAAGUUCAAACACAUGCUGUUCUCUGAGUGUAACUCUGAGGGCAGCUGUAAGAAAUCAACAGAAAAGAAUAGCUGCUACUCUUUUAUUAAAGGAAAAGUUAAUGAUCACAGGCAUGAGCAAGUGGAUUCUGUCACCAAUUCCUCAUUGUAAGGCUUCCUACAGAUUUGCAAACAGAUCUCCUGCCUAGAGGCACUUGCUUGCAUCAGGAAGGCCUGAGCAGGGACAUGGGACGGACACAGGAUGGGAAUGGAUUUGGUGGUCUGCAAAUGCUACGUGGAGGGAACUCUUGCUAACUCAUCCUGUUCCAAAGAACCUAACCAUCAUGUCUUCUUCAAAGUUGAAGAGCUGUUACCUUGAUAUACCAACAACUAGACAGAGGCUAAAGUGUGGAGCAAGGAAACAGUAACAGUAACAUACCUCUUAUUUAAGACAAAAAAAAAAGCAAAGUUGGCUUUAGUGAGUAUGAGUUUCUUGAUUAUUACUGUCAUCAUGUGAAAAUGUGAGCUGACGCUGCAAAUACAAUCCUUGGAAACAACGAGGACGUGUGGAAAUCUAAGUAUGUUAUCAUUCACUGACAACCACUAAUGAAGACAGGGGAGCUUACUUCAAACCCACAAAUAAUUAGCACUGACAAUAGAAGUAUAAACAGAGCUUUAUUUAAUUAAUUCCCUAAUUGUUCUUUCCUGCUUUACUAUCUGCACCCCUGCUUUGACUUUAGAUAUAACAUAUGCCCAAGACUUCCUUCUUUCAACUUUGUGAUAAUCAUGUAUCCGUUUGCUCAGUGUGGGAAACCAUCUGAGCUAGAAUUCCUUUCCCUGCUUUAUAUGUAUAAAUGUUUUUUUAUUUUUUAUGUUACUUUCUCUGUUUUCCCACAAUUCGGAUGCCUGGAAAUGUUGACUUAUUAACAUGGAUGGCUUAUCUAGCACUCUGUUAGAUGUAUUUCACAGUUAAUAUGAAAUGAGAAGUGAACAGUUGAUGAUUCUGGAGUGAUGAGGAGAGCUCUCUGGAUUCUCCAUUCUGUUCUUUACAGCAACAAACUCUUUGUCCCUGUCUCCUCGCUCACCCACAUUCUAAUCCCAGCAAUCAGAGAGCAGAUGGACUGCUUUUUUGGGUUUUGUCAUUAUCUGUCUUUGUCAGGGAAGCAUGAUCAGUUCCUCAUUAAAGGGCCGAUAACAACUCCUUCUUUGCUCUGUCCUGAAUGAGGAAGCUGCAUUGGAACCUUUCAUGUGGUGACUUCAAGUUGUGUGAGGUAAAAAGGCAUGUUUGUGUGUGGCAGGAAAGUGACUCUCCAUAGGGGAAUGGCUAGGCUGAGGGGCCAGACUGAGGGACCUACUGAGAGGAAGGACAGUGUAGAGGGGAAUAGAUUUGGAGCAGUCAUCUGGAGCAGCAGGUAGUCCAGAGAGUCAGCCCUAGUGGCUGGAGUGGGUCAGCCCUGAUCCUCUUACAGAGACUGUAGACUCUUUCUCAAGUGGCUUUGCUGGUUAUGGGCAGCCUCAGCUCACAAAAGUUGAUUACAGCCAGAAGUUAAAUCAGAGGCUGCUUAGGAAUCUUGCCUGUGAAAAGGGCUAAAUGGUGUGUGAAUGUAUUUGUGCAUGUUGUGUAUGUUUGAUGACAGUCAUGCUUCCAUUAUUGACAGGAUAUGUUCUGAGAAAUGCGUUUUCAUUGUUGGUCGAACAUCGUAGAAUGUACUUAUACAAACCUAGAUGGUAUGUAUUUUUUUAUUUAUAUACAUUUUUCAUAUGGAAAACUAAAUGUCCCAGCACCAUUACGGAAUAUAAGUCAUUUUCGCUACUUGAUCUGCAAUGCCAAUAUGAAGGACCAUGUAUCAGGUUUCUAUAUAUGUUCCAUUACAGUCUUAUGGGAUUAUGGUCAUAUAUGCAGUCCACCAUUGGCCAAAAUGCCAUUAUGGAGUGUCAUUAUGACUGUAUAAGUUUAUAUGUAAGUUUGUACAGUGCAGUUGGUAUUCCUUUUGAUUACUUUUUGUAUAAUAUUUACUAAAAAUAUUUGCAGAAAGUUCCCGAGAAUCACACAAACUCUGUUUGCCCCUGUCCAUGUGAUGUGAAGCAGGUAUCAGCUGACUUCCUUUCAACCUUUAUUUGAUUGGUAUUUGCUGGAUCAUUUGGGUGAAUAACCAGCCUGGUGUUCAUGGAAAAAUAUGCAACAAGGAGUUCCUGCUUGGAGAAGUAAUGUUUUGUUUGAGGAAACAAGAUGUCUGUUAUAAACACUUAGAGAAAAUUCUCAUAUUAUGUAGAAGUAAAUGAAACAGUGUGGUAAAGACUGAGAGGAGAUGGAGAAUGAUCCCAUUGCACCAGGUUGCUCUCAUUUUCUCUCUCUUAAUGAAUGGAAAGGUUGUAUAGAUUAUUUCAGACUUAAAGAAUGUGUAGUUUUGGUCAAAGAGCAGACACAUGGGAAUAAGGAAGUCAUCCUGUGGUCACAGAGGAUGUAGGGAACAGGUUGGCCAGACUGAAACGGAAGGGCUGUGUUAGGAUGCGGUGGGAAGUAAGGAGAAUACCUACCUUAACAAGUCAGGACAGGGUGUGCCUCCAGAUACAUUUGCACUUCCCUCCUGAGAGCUUUUCUUUGUCCUGAAUGAGGAAGCAACAUUGGAACCUUUGAUGUGGUGACUUCAAGUUGUGUGAGGUAAAAGGGCAUGUUUGUGUGCGGCAGGAAAGUGACUGUCCAUAGGGGAAUGGCUCAGUAUGUAUGUUCCCUAGCCACAAGCUUCGGUUUUGUAUUCGACUGUACCUGCCUAGAUAUAGAUCCACUCUGGAAACCCAGGGAAACUUUUCAAUCUUCUUGUUAAAGCUGAGGAUUGAUUAGCAAGCAUGACCUCCCACCUGUUAUAACUGGCUUAUGGCUCUUCCGAAGUACCCACUGGCAUUUUCAAGGUGCCCUGCACCCCUUCCUGCCAUGUCCUUCUAUGGAACACUUCCUUCAACUCCUUGAGUCUGGUCCCUUCCUACCAGAACCAAAUAAUUGUCAAACUUCUUCAUUUGUUUGGAUUUUCCACUCUAAGCUCUUCUUCUGGCCUUUCCACCAGUGGUCUUACACUAGCAGUUAAUUUGCUCGGAAUUCAUUGUGGAGCUAUCUUGUGCCAAGCAAGGUGCCAAAGGUUUUACAUAUGUUCACUUUCUUAGUCUUCCUAAUAAUCCUUUAAAGUGGAUCUACUUAACAGUACCUGCUGAGCGUCAAUUACAUGACAAAGCAUUUGGGGAUAAAACAGGAAAAAAUAAAGGCAGAGGCCAUGCCCACAGAUAACUUGUACUUAGCUAAGAGACUACUUCUAGUGGGAGAGAUUAAGCCCUGAGGAGGUUAUAAGAUUUGUCCUGGAUCUGAAAUUUGAAUCUAGGUCUUUCUGACCCCAAAGUCAUUAAUUUCCCAACUGCAUCUACUUUUUUCUUUUUUUUUUUUUGCAAUUGAAAUUAAUUUAAAAUAAAUUAUUCUUAGCCAUUGUUCAUUUGAAGGCAAGCUGACAAUCAGGCCGUUUAAGCCAGAGUGAGUCUUAUGUGACAAAUUAUCACAUAAAGUAAUGAAGUCUUUUCUGGACUCUAUGCUCUGCUGUGGGUGGAGUGUUAAGCCCUUCAGAAGCUGCCUUCCAGGGUCUCCACAGGUCCAGGGGUCCAUUGCCACCAAGAGUCUUGUUGUUCAUUAUUGCGUUUACUACUAUAGCAACGGCUCCACCAGUGUCUUUAUUAAAACUUGCUCCAGGCUAGAAUUUUCCCCCGGGGUCAGUAAUGAGUUUAGAGGAAUGGAUGUGGAAAUGAGAUUUGUUCUCACCAGUGGAGUGAAUUAUGUCUUGUUGGGGCCCCCAGGCUAAUAUUUCAGAUUUGCCACAAGGUACUUCAUCAAAAAUUCUAUUUUGGUUCCAAAAGGACCAUGCAUGCCUAUUAGCAAAUUCAGAGCAUGCCUUUAAACUGUAUGUUUUUUUUUUUUUUUUUUCCUUCCCCGGCUGCAUCCACUAAAGGCUUUCAGAAUUAGCAGUUUGUGAGAACAGUCCAUUUCCACGGGCCAGUGAAUGGUGCAAAGAAGAAGUGCAGCCCUUUUAUCUAACAAGGCUGAGUCUGCCAUAACUGAGGUGAAUCAAAGGCAGAGCAGCCACGACUGUGUCAGCACAUUAGGUAUUCGUUAUCACAUCGGGCAUGCGGUACCACGCCAGACAUACUCAUGUGGCAGGAUUUGUGUUUGCUGUCUCUCAAAUUCUCUUGCCUCCGUUUGAUUGCCAGGGCUCAUUUUAAUGCCAUCCAAGCGUAUGGGUUUAAAUACUCUCCAAUUCAGCCUGGUGUGUUUGACAUCUAGUUCAACAUUCCAAAGAAACUGAUUGCAGAGAUAAGUCGAUUGGGAAAUAGGGUUGCACAUCAAAGCACUACCUUUCCAGUAACAGAGAUGCUCAGAAGGCCUAGCUUAUUGGAGAGGACCAUAAUUGCUGGUUGUCUUUACAAGUGUUCUCUGUGGUGGGAAAUGGGGAGAAAGCAUCUCUUGCAUGAUGCCCACUAUGCUCACAUCCUCUCUCCCUCCCUUCACUACUUCUGCUAUCUCCCAGAUAAAGGGUUAUAUUCCCGAGCAAUGAUGACCAACUACUUUUCGCUAGCAAAAACCAAAAGGGCAGGGUGAUCUCCACCCGAUGACAGAUAAAAGAUGGAUUGGCUUGAGAAAAGAGUGAGGGUCCCCACUUUUUCUUCCCAAUCCCCAUUACAUUCAUAGCCUUAAGAACUGCUCCCCUCCAGAAUCUUGGCUAUGAUUGUCAUAACUUACACCUUGUCUCGAUCUGGGAAAAAAUAAUAAAAUGACUCCAUUGAUGCUACUCCAAUCCUUCUGCUUGUUGUGUCAAAUUUUCUUUCAUUUUGUAAGCUGUGCAUUUGGGCAGAUGCUAUCCUCCACUGGAGGUACCAUUCCCGUGCAGGAGUAAGGUUUCUGUUGGACAGGAGUCCUCUUGGCAGAACACAUUUAAUGGAGUGCCUUUUAGUGAGGGUCUCCAGCCUUGGUCUAAUUGCUCUAUAAUGAAACAAGCAGGAAUGACACUGUCCUUCUCACUUACAUGUCUUAGUUUACUUUUGGAAAUUAUUGUGUGCAUUGAACAGUGUUUCUCCUUAAACAAACAAACUCACUCACUGUUUCUAUGACCAGUGUAGAGUUCCAGAUACUGUUGAACAGGCAUUACUAUAUUAAGUCCUGUGCACAUCAUCAGCACUGUAAAUUGGCCCUCACCUCCCAUGAAGCUGGCAGCCUCUGGAUCUUUGGGUUGUCUGUUUUUACUGGCUGUUAAUUGUUAAUAGAUUUUCAGGUGUAGGUCAUGCUGUGUAGGCAUCAAUCCUUAAUUUAGGAAGGUCUGCGGCUGUCCAUGAUUGUGAAAAGGCAAGUGAUAAACAAAAACUGGAGAAAUCUCAGCAUCCUCACUAAAAAUGUCAAGCCCAGUAAUGCUUCUGGUAGCAAAAGCAAAAUUUAUUAGUGAGAGAACAAACUUGCCUAAUAAAAAAGGAGAGUUAAAGAGGGAAAGCAGAGAAGGAAGGAAGGCCCCAGAAGAAGGUUGACGAAAGAGAAAA
This is a long non-coding RNA of Homo sapiens (human), 5918 nucleotides long. RefSeq lists it as uncharacterized. NCBI's taxonomy places the organism in Eukaryota, Metazoa, Chordata, Mammalia, Primates, Hominidae. The record is from RefSeq and is a predicted model, not a curated record. The transcript has 2 exons.